RNAcentral lists this unclassified non-coding RNA (215 nucleotides) under Hevea brasiliensis (rubber tree). Lineage: Eukaryota; Viridiplantae; Streptophyta; Magnoliopsida; Malpighiales; Euphorbiaceae. The record is from RNAcentral.
GGAGCCCUAUGUCACCUAGGUGAAUGUGUCUUGCUUAAGGGCUAAAAAGCAUGUCCUCUUAGGUGCCUAGCUUCUAAGGUGGCCCUUAGCUAUGAUUUUAACAAGACUAAGGUUGGAGGGGGAGAGGGGGACUGAGAUACAAGUCAUGAAGGAAGAGGACAUGGAAAUAACAUGAGAAAGAAAAGGAAGAGUACUCCAAUAAAUUUUAAAUUAAA